This 794-nucleotide long non-coding RNA is filed under the name Sorghum bicolor (sorghum). RNAcentral describes it as "long non-coding RNA (SBIC_LNC013379)". Lineage: Eukaryota; Viridiplantae; Streptophyta; Magnoliopsida; Poales; Poaceae. The record is from RNAcentral.
GCCACUGUCAUUUGUCAACUGAACUGAACUUAACAACAAACAAACAAACAAACCUGUUGCAACUCGAUUUUUUUUUUAUUUUUUUACCAGACAACCAGGCAACCAGGAGGAGGAAUGUAAGGCAUGUAGGAUAGGAUGACAGGAAAUUUACAGAGAUAAAUAAGGACUGGCCUCAGACACAGAGGCAUACCCAGCCAUCUAGCAGCCUCCAGGUCCAGAGACAUCAAAAAGAAACUACUGCUCUCCCACACACACACACACACACAAAACCAUGGCAAUGCCAUUGGCCAUCCCCAUGCAUGCUGCUCUCAUGAAUGGAAGAUUCUCCUCUCCCACACCAAGUGCAGUGCAGUGUAGUGCCGGGACAAAAGAGCACAAAGUACAUCCCCCCAGCCUGCCCACGCUUCCCAUCCAUCCCCCACCUUCCUUCCAUGCUCAGGUACGGUCCUGUGUCCAAUCCUCCAUGGAUCCAUCCACAGCAAGCAGCCCAACAAAUUCUGAAGAUCCAAUCCCUAUAGUUCCCCACACCAAGCAUCACAAUGCUCAUCCGGGUUAGGAAACUUUAACUAUACCAGAUCGAAUUCAGUAGAAACUAGCACAUCUUCAUGCUUGAUUCGCCUUAUCUUCAUGUGCAGGAUGCCCUUAGCUUGUUUGUUUCUCCCAUCUUUGAGCUCUUUGUUCUUGCGACAGACGGACGGACGAGCUUUUACGCUGCAAUUGGCACGGCAACCAAGGCCAUCGUAAAGCAAAAACACAAGUACACACCAGCAGAACAACUGAACUGAACUGAGCGG